This 68-nucleotide transfer RNA is filed under the name Sciurus aestuans (Guianan squirrel). RNAcentral describes it as "Guerlinguetus aestuans (Guianan squirrel) tRNA-Arg". It matches the Rfam family "tRNA". From Rfam's summary of the family: Transfer RNA (tRNA) molecules are approximately 80 nucleotides in length. Their secondary structure includes four short double-helical elements and three loops (D, anti-codon, and T loops). The record is from RNAcentral. Lineage: Eukaryota; Metazoa; Chordata; Mammalia; Rodentia; Sciuridae.
UAGUAAUUAGUUUAAACUUAAAACAAGUGAUUUCGACUCACUAGAUUAUGGGCUGUCAUAAUUACUAA